GGACUACUAGGGUAUCUAAUCCUGUUUGCUCCCCUAGCUUUCGCGCCUCAGCGUCAGCAAUAGCCCAGAAAACCGUCUUCACCACCGGUGUUCUUCCACAUAUCUACGCAUUUCACCGCUACACGUGGAAUUCCGUUUUCCCUAACUAAGCUCUAGCCAAAUAGUUUCAAAUGCAGUUCCGCAAUUGAGCUACGGAAUUUCACAUCUGACUUAUUCGGCAGCCUACGCGCCCUUUACGCCCAGUAAUUCCGACCAAUGCUUGCACCCUCCGUAUUACCGCGGCUGCUGGCAC
RNAcentral lists this ribosomal RNA (292 nucleotides) under uncultured bacterium. Its description in RNAcentral is "partial 16S ribosomal RNA". The record is from RNAcentral.